GACGAACGCUGGCGGCGUGCUUAACACAUGCAAGUCGAACGGUGAAGGAGCCUGUUUUUGUGGGCCCUGGGUGAGUGGCGAGCGGGUGAGUAACACGUGAGUAACCUGCCCCCUUCUUCUGGAUAACCGCAUGAAAGUGUGGCUAAUACGGGAUAUUCUGGGUCUGUCGCAUGAUGGGUCUGGGAAAGAUGGCGCCUUAGGGUGUGUUUGGUGGGGGAUGUGCUCGUGGCCUAUCAGCUUGUUGGGGGGGCGAUUGCCUACCAAGGCGGUGACGGGUAGCCGGUCGGAGGGGGUGGGCGGUGAGAGUGGGAAUGGGACACGGGGGAGUGACCUACGGGACGCACUAGUGCGGGAUAUUGCACAAUGGGAGAAAGCAUGAUGGGGCGAAGCCUGGUGCGGCGUGGACGCGUUCGGGUUGUAAGCCUCUGUGGCCAGUGCAGCAGGCCUGCUCCUUGUGGGUGGGUUGACGGUAGCUGGAGAAGAAGCGCCGGCUAACUACGUG
This 502-nucleotide ribosomal RNA is filed under the name uncultured bacterium. RNAcentral describes it as "partial 16S ribosomal RNA". It matches the Rfam family "Bacterial small subunit ribosomal RNA", at positions 28 to 507 of the family's 1533-position model. The record is from RNAcentral.